ACGCUAAAACACCAGUCCCCUUACGAUCACCGAAGUUAAGCAAUGUCGAGUCUGGUCACUAACUAGAUGGGAGACUGCUUUGGAAUACCAGGUGCUGGAA
Acanthosepion pharaonis is the source of this 100-nucleotide non-coding RNA. NCBI's taxonomy places the organism in Eukaryota, Metazoa, Mollusca, Cephalopoda, Sepiida, Sepiidae. The record is from the annotation of a GenBank genome assembly.